Molecule: ribosomal RNA, 406 nt
Filed under: uncultured bacterium
Lineage: Bacteria
Description: partial 16S ribosomal RNA
Rfam family: Bacterial small subunit ribosomal RNA
Source: RNAcentral
AUUGAACGCUGGCGGCAGGCCUAACACAUGCAAGUCGAACGAGUGGCGGACGGGUGAGUAAUGUCUGGGAAACUGCCUGAUGGAGGGGGAUAACUACUGGAAUCGGUAGCUAAUACCGCAUACCAUCGGAUGUGCCCAGAUGGGAUUAGCUAGUAGGUGGGGUAAAGGCUCACCUAGGCGACGAUCCCUAGCUGGUCUGAGAGGAUGACCAGCCACACUGGAACUGAGACACGGUCCAGACGCCUACGGGAGGCAGCAGGGGGGAAUAUUGGACAAGGGGCGCAAGCCUGAUGCAGCCAUGCCGCGUGUAUGAAGAAGGCCUUCGGGUUGUAAAGUACUUUAAGUGGGGAGGCGUUACCCACAGAAGAAGCACCGGCUAACUCCGUGCCAGCAGCCGCGGUAAUUC